Molecule: ribosomal RNA, 253 nt
Filed under: uncultured bacterium
Lineage: Bacteria
Description: partial 16S ribosomal RNA
Rfam family: Bacterial small subunit ribosomal RNA
Source: RNAcentral
UACAGAGGGGGCAAGCAUUAUUCGGAAUUAUUGGGCGUAAAGGGCGCGUAGGCGGCCUGGCAAGUGGAAGGUGAAAUCCCUCGGCUUAACCGAGGAACUGCCCUCCAAACUGCUUGGCUUGAGUCCGGGAGAGGUGAGUGGAAUUCCCAGUGUAGCGGUGAAAUGCGUAGAUAUUGGGAGGAACACCAGUGGCGAAGGCGGCUCACUGGACCGGAACUGACGCUGAGGCGCGAAAGCGUGGGGAGCAAACGGG